Dermacentor silvarum is the source of this 350-nucleotide long non-coding RNA. RefSeq lists it as uncharacterized. NCBI's taxonomy places the organism in Eukaryota, Metazoa, Arthropoda, Arachnida, Ixodida, Ixodidae. The transcript is spliced from 3 exons. The record is from RefSeq and is a predicted model, not a curated record.
UAUAUACCGUCCGUGCAUUGGCUGACGCGGAGGUAUGCUACCGACUCGGCUGCGUGGACGCGGGCACGAAGAAAGGAGCGCCGACUGACCAACGAUACUUUGACUGCGCAUGUGUGCCACUCAAGUGCAACAGUUCACGAGGCAUCCCAGGCCCCGAAAGAAGUUGGAAGAAGAUGCAAGCGCAGCAUGCCAAUGUUGUUGAAUAUGCCAGCACGAAGUUUCCAGGCGCAAGUGUUUCUUAUAUAAAAGAAAGCCUAUUCUCUCCCCUCACAAGGGAAAUAAAAUCACUAUAUAAAAAUGCCUUUUCAUGUGCCUUUUUUUGUUUUCCUGUUGGCUGCAGUUAAUAUUCA